UUACUCUGCCAGUAAGUAUACUCAAAUUGGAUAGACACAAAGAAAAUUAGCAUAGCCCUAGAUGAAACUCUCUGGAAUGCUUUACUCCCCUUCUUC
This 96-nucleotide small nuclear RNA is filed under the name Phascolarctos cinereus (koala). The record is from RNAcentral. Lineage: Eukaryota; Metazoa; Chordata; Mammalia; Diprotodontia; Phascolarctidae.